GACGAACGCUGGCGGCGUGCUUAACACAUGCAAGUCGAACGAUGAAGCCUAGCUUGCUAGGUGGAUUAGUGGCGAACGGGUGAGUAAUACGUGAGUAACCUACCUUUAACUCUGGGAUAAGCCCGGGAAACUGGGUCUAAUACCGGAUACGACCAAUCUCCGCAUGGGGUGUUGGUGGAAAGCGUUAUGUAGUGGUUAUAGAUGGGCUCACGGCCUAUCAGCUUGUUGGUGAGGUAACGGCUCACCAAGGCGACGACGGGUAGCCGGCCUGAGAGGGUGAGCGGCCACACUGGGACUGAGACACGGCCCAGACGCCUACGGGAGGCAGCAGUGGGGAAUAUUGCACAAUGGGCGCAAGCCUGAUGCAGCGACGCCGCGUGAGGGAUGACGGCCUUCGGGUUGUAAACCUCUGUUAGCAGGGAAGAAGAGAGAUUGACGGUACCUGCAGAGAAAGCGCCGGCUAACUACGU
RNAcentral lists this ribosomal RNA (470 nucleotides) under uncultured bacterium. RNAcentral's name for it is "partial 16S ribosomal RNA". It matches the Rfam family "Bacterial small subunit ribosomal RNA", at positions 28 to 506 of the family's 1533-position model. The record is from RNAcentral.